CUACGGGAGGCAGCAGUGGGGAAUCUUGCGCAAUGGGCGAAAGCCUGACGCAGCAACGCCGCGUGGGGGAUGAAGGCUCUCGGGUUGUAAACCCCUUUCAGCAGGGACGAAUUUUGACGGUACCUGCAGAAGAAGCCCCGGCUAACUACGUGCCAGCAGCCGCGGUAACACGUAGGGGGCAAGCGUUGUCCGGAUUUAUUGGGCGUAAAGAGCUCGUAGGCGGCUCAGUAAGUCGGGUGUCAAAUCCUCAGGCUCAACCUGGGGCUGCACUCGAUACUGCUGUGGCUAGAGUCCGGUAGGGGAGCAUGGAAUUCCUGGUGUAGCGGUGAAAUGCGUAGAUAUCGGGAGGAACGCCAAAAGCGAAAGCAGCCGGCUGGGUCGAGACUGACACUGAGGGACGAAAGCGUGGGUAGCGAACAGGAUUAGAAACCCGAGUAGUCC
This 441-nucleotide ribosomal RNA is filed under the name uncultured bacterium. RNAcentral's name for it is "bacterial SSU rRNA". It matches the Rfam family "Bacterial small subunit ribosomal RNA", at positions 339 to 796 of the family's 1533-position model. The record is from RNAcentral.